GUAACACGUGGGUGAUCUGCCCUGCACUUUGGGAUAAGCCUGGGAAACUGGGUCUAAUACCGAAUACACCUUGCUGGAUGCAUGUCUGGUGGGGGAAAGCUUUUGCGGUGUGGGAUGGGCCCGCGGCCUAUCAGCUUGUUGGUGGGGUGAUGGCCUACCAAGGCGACGACGGGUAGCCGGCCUGAGAGGGUGUCCGGCCACACUGGGACUGAGAUACGGCCCAGACUCCUACGGGAGGCAGCAGUGGGGAAUAUUGCACAAUGGGCGCAAGCCUGAUGCAGCGACGCCGCGUGGGGGAUGACGGCCUUCGGGUUGUAAACCCCUUUCAGUAGGGACGAAGCGCAAGUGACGGUACCUACAGAAGAAGGACCGGCCAACUACGUGCCAGCAGCCGCGGUAAUACGUAGGGUCCGAGCGUUGUCCGGAAUUACUGGGCGUAAAGAGCUCGUAGGUGGUUUGUCGCGUUGUUCGUGAAAACUCACAGCUUAACUGUGGGCGUGCGGGCGAUACGGGCAGACUAGAGUACUGCAGGGGAGACUGGAAUUCCUGGUGUAGCGGUGGAAUGCGCAGAUAUCAGGAGGAACACCGGUGGCGAAGGCGGGUCUCUGGGCAGUAACUGACGCUGAGGAGCGAAAGCGUGGGGAGCGAACAGGAUUAGAUACCCUGGUAGUCCACGCCGUAAACGGUGGGUACUAGGUGUGGGUUUCCUUCCUUGGGAUCCGUGCCGUAGCUAACGCAUUAAGUACCCCGCCUGGGGAGUACGGCCGCAAGGCUAAAACUCAAAGAAAUUGACGGGGGCCCGCACAAGCGGCGGAGCAUGUGGAUUAAUUCGAUGCAACGCGAAGAACCUUACCUGGGUUUGACAUGCACAGGACGCCAGUAGAGAUAUUGGUUCCCUUGUGGCCUGUGUGCAGGUGGUGCAUGGCUGUCGUCAGCUCGUGUCGUGAGAUGUUGGGUUAAGUCCCGCAACGAGCGCAACCCCUAUCUUAUGUUGCCAGCGCGUUAUGGCGGGGACUCGUAAGAGACUGCCGGGGUCAACUCGGAGGAAGGUGGGGAUGACGUCAAGUCAUCAUGCCCCUUAUGUCCAGGGCUUCACACAUGCUACAAUGGCCGGUACAAAGGGCUGCGAAUCCGUGAGGUGGAGCGAAUCCCUUGAAAGCCGGUCUCAGUUCGGAUCGGGGUCUGCAACUCGACCCCGUGAAGUCGGAGUCGCUAGUAAUCGCAGAUCAGCAACGCUGCGGUGAAUACGUUCCCGGGCCUUGUACACACCGCCCGUCACGUCAUGAAAGUCGGUAACACCCGAAGCCGG
RNAcentral lists this ribosomal RNA (1309 nucleotides) under Mycolicibacterium smegmatis. RNAcentral describes it as "bacterial SSU rRNA". It matches the Rfam family "Bacterial small subunit ribosomal RNA", at positions 110 to 1430 of the family's 1533-position model. The record is from RNAcentral. Lineage: Bacteria; Bacillati; Actinomycetota; Actinomycetes; Mycobacteriales; Mycobacteriaceae.